UUAUAUAACAGUACUAUGAAGUCUACCAAUAUUAAUUAUCAAACACUUUGACUUAGAAACUGCAUAGUAGCGUAUAAGGUUUUCUGUAAAACAACAUUAAGUCUGUGUUUUAAUAUUUCAUCUGAUAUGAUAUUAGCCAUGAAAAAUUGGUUUAUUUUUGGAUUCCUCAUUUUCAAACUAUUCACAGUGUCAGGUUCCUGUUUUAAUGAACGGGGAAGAUUAACACAUGGCAGAGGGUGUCAACACAUUCCAUUAACUUUGACCUUUCGUAUAAAAAAAACAGCUCGAACACGGCGUUCCUAUUGUACUCUGGUGUGUACACUUCAAGACGAUGUCUUCCGUUCAUUUUGUGACUGUGCUAAGAAAGACACGACCACUACACCAAGAGAAACCACAACGCCAGCACCAACAUAUCCUUCCCUUACCAUAACAACCACAACCAGUACAACUACGCCACCGAAAGAAACAUCAGAAGAUACAACAACCCCAGACGAAACAACUCCAGAACCUACAACGUUUAAAAUUUGAAGUUUUCCAAACGAAUCAAUCUGAUCAAGAUCACAUCAAAAGGAUGUUAUGCUGCUAAAAGAUUACUCUCAGAAUUUCACUGUAGGCAAAAACUCUAACACAUUGAGAUCAUCUUAUUUUUUCUUUCGUAUCCAAUAAUUCGAAAAUUUCGCAUUGUGUGCAGUGUCAGUGUGAACUAAUGAGCCAUUUGGACAUUUAUUAAAGUUAUGAUUAUGUUC
This is a long non-coding RNA of Biomphalaria glabrata, 746 nucleotides long. RefSeq lists it as uncharacterized. The record is from RefSeq and is a predicted model, not a curated record. NCBI's taxonomy places the organism in Eukaryota, Metazoa, Mollusca, Gastropoda, Planorbidae. The transcript is spliced from 4 exons.